AAGGAUCAUUGUUGAAAUAAACCUGAUGGGUUGCUGCUGGUUCUCUAGGGAACAUGUGCACACUUGUCGUCUUUAUAUCUCCACCUGUGCACCUUUUGUAGACCUGGAUAUCUUUCUGAAUGCACUAGCAUUCGGGUUUGAGGAUUGACUUUCUGUCUUUCCUUACAUUUCCAGGCCUAUGUUUCUUCAUAUACCCCAUGUAUGUUAUAGAAUGUAGUAAUGGGCCUUUGUGCCUAUAAAUCUAUACAACUUUCAGCAACGGAUCUCUUGGCUCUCGCAUCGAUGAAGAACGCAGCGAAAUGCGAUAAGUAAUUGUGAAUUGCAGAAUUCAGUGAAUCAUCGAAUCUUUGAACGCACCUUGCGCUCCUUGGUAUUCCGAGGAGCAUGCCUGUUUGAGUGUCAUUAAUAUAUCAACCUCUUCAGCUUUUGCUUGUUGAGUGUUGGAUGUGGGGGUAUUCUUUUGCUGGUCUCUUUCUGAGGUCGGCUCCCCUGAAAUGCAUUAGCGGAACAAUUUGUUGACCGUUCAUUGGUGUGAUAAUUAUCUACGCUAUUGACGUGAAGCAGGUUCAGCUUCUAACAGUCCAUUGACUUGGACAAAUUUUCAUUAAUGUGACCUCAAAUCAGGUAGGACUACCCGCUGAACUUAA
RNAcentral lists this ribosomal RNA (647 nucleotides) under Cortinarius austrovenetus. RNAcentral's name for it is "eukaryotic LSU rRNA". The stretch from base 248 to 402 matches the Rfam family "5.8S ribosomal RNA". The record is from RNAcentral. Lineage: Eukaryota; Fungi; Basidiomycota; Agaricomycetes; Agaricales; Cortinariaceae.